Molecule: ribosomal RNA, 403 nt
Filed under: bacterium
Lineage: Bacteria
Description: partial 16S ribosomal RNA
Rfam family: Bacterial small subunit ribosomal RNA
Source: RNAcentral
UGGGGAAUCUUGCACAAUGGGGGAAACCCUGAUGCAGCGACGCCGCGUGAGCGAUGAAGGUUUUCGAAUCGUAAAGCUCUGUCCUAUGGGAAGAUAAUGACGGUACCAUAGGAGGAAGCCCCGGCUAACUACGUGCCAGCAGCCGCGGGAAUACGCAGGGGGCGAGCGUUGUCCGGAAUUACUGGGCGUAAAGGGUUCGCAGGCGGCAUGACAAGUCCGAUGUAAAAGGCGAAAGCUCAACUUUCGUAAGCAUCGGAAACUGUCAAGCGUGAUUGAAGGAGAGGCAAGUGGAAUUCCUAGUGUAGCGGUUGAAUGCAUAGAUAUUAGGAGGAAUACCGGUGGCGAAGGCGACUUGCUGGACUUCAACUGACGCUGAGGAACGAAAGCGUGGGUAGCAAACAGG